Long non-coding RNA from Rhineura floridana, 372 nucleotides. RefSeq lists it as uncharacterized. The transcript has 3 exons. Lineage: Eukaryota; Metazoa; Chordata; Lepidosauria; Squamata; Rhineuridae. The record is from RefSeq and is a predicted model, not a curated record.
AUCCUGCUAUUCUAGAAGAACUGAAAGAUAACACCAGCAGAACUCCUCGGGUAUGUGGAUGACCCACUUUGCCAGUACAACUGGAAAAAACAAGCUGUUAUCUACAACCACAAAGAGCCGUAACGCUGGUAUAGAAACUGCAGUGCUGGCAUGAACCAUUCUUCCACAAGGCACUUGUGCUGAAAAAUUCAGACACAGCAUCACACACUUCAAGCAUAUCUUGAAAAGGAAGAUGUGAUGCAUGAUGGUGAUUUGGAUAAUCUACACAUUGAGAGUUUGCAGGCUGUUAACAUUUCCUGCAUUUCAUGUCUCUGUCCCAAGCCUGAACCCUUGAACCUGGAGUUUUUGUACCAAUAAAAAUAGUUUGCUUUA